AAUUUUACUAAUUUUAUCUGAGUAUGCUACAUUUGAUUGUUACAAAACAUUUGUUGACAAAAAACACCAUGAAAAUGAGGGAACACAGCAAACAUGUCAGGGUAAAGAUUAUGGCAAAUCUACACAAACAUAACAAUUUGCAUAAACAUUUUUUUAAGAAAGGAGAGAAGCAGCCAAGAGAGAAGAUACCUAAUAGUUGUGCAAUCUAAAACUCUUCAUAGUAAAGUGGGACAAGAAAAGUAAUUUGUUGAAAGAAGUCCUGUUUGCCACAAAGAGUGUAGCGAACACAACAUGAAUACAAGUUUAAGGCACUCUAAUGAGAAGUCUGGCAAACCUUUAAAACUAUGUGGAGGAAAACUUUGACCUACUAUUUCUAUAACUAAACACACCAUACCCACUCUGAAACAUGGUGGUGGCAGCGUCACGCUGUGGGAUAUGUUUUUAUUCUUUAUCUCAACAGAUCCAAUUCGUUAAUUGCACCUCCAUGUAAUUCGAGAAGUUGUUCACCUUUAAGGUUAAUGCCACAUUGCAUGAGCUCGAAGUAAAUGCUGAAAAAUAAAACCUCAGCUUGUGUUGUGCUGCAGUCAUGUGCCUCAGUUAGAUAUAACAGUAAAAACCACAGGCUCUGAUGUUAGGCUGCCACUGACUCUCACCCAUAAGUCUAUUUGUUUCCCACAGUAAGAUUCUGCAUCAUGCGCAGUAGAAUAUUUUCUUUCAUUAUAAGCGUCUCAUCUUAUCAGACAUAUAUACAGACAGUUUUCUUUGACUUUCUUCCUCUUUUUGGUAAAGUACACAAAAUGAAAAUCCAAGAUGCUUUGGCAACAUGUGGUUAAAAUAUUGUCACUUGGGUGGCUCCAGGUUCAAUAAUAUGUAUGAUGUAAUAUGUAAAGAGGAAAGAGAGACUUUGUCACAUGUAAGACAUAUUUCUCAAGACAAUGUCGCAAUGGCAUGAGGCCAAGCAGCUUUUUUUUUUUUUUUUACUUUUCAAGAAGUGAGACCGUUAAAAUUCAUUUCCUUCCUUGUUGGAAAUAUCAGCAACACCCCACCUUUUGUAGUUCCUGUGAGUAUCUGGCACAGUCUGACAGCAGAGCUUCAUGGAAGGCUGAUAACAUUAUCUCUCUUUGCAACAUCUCACUUUUUUAAGAGGUUAAACCACAUAACAAAGGAGCAGCAUGGAGCAAUUUAUUCUUCUUCUUGUAUUGACUGGAGGAAGUCAUGCAUUUUUUCCACCCGCCGACACUGAAUGUGAUGCCAUCCAGGCUACCUCCUCCUGCUCUCCUGUUGUCGGAGGAUCCGUCAACAUCAAGUUAUUGACCAAUGCAGUCGGCUACAAGUUGCACUGUUUCAAGUUUUAUAAUGAAACAAAUCGUGCUGAAAUAUUUUCUCUAAAGAGAGAAAAAGUGAAGGUAGCUGAGAACAACAGAACAGAAUUCACAAUCGACACAGGAACACUCAAGAUUAUCAACGUGACAUGGAAUGAUACAGGUCUAUAUGUAGUGGAGAGAUAUGAUAAAAAUGGGAA
Molecule: long non-coding RNA, 1522 nt
Organism: Xiphophorus couchianus (Monterrey platyfish)
Lineage: Eukaryota; Metazoa; Chordata; Actinopteri; Cyprinodontiformes; Poeciliidae
Exons: 2
Source: RefSeq, a predicted model, not a curated record